RNAcentral lists this ribosomal RNA (517 nucleotides) under uncultured beta proteobacterium. Its description in RNAcentral is "bacterial SSU rRNA". It matches the Rfam family "Bacterial small subunit ribosomal RNA", at positions 518 to 1049 of the family's 1533-position model. The record is from RNAcentral. Lineage: Bacteria; Pseudomonadati; Pseudomonadota; Betaproteobacteria.
CGGUAAUACGUAGGGUGCGAGCGUUAUCGGAAUUACUGGGCGUAAAGCGUGCGUAGGCGGUUCGUUAAGUGCGUUGUGAAAGCCCCGGGCUCAACCUGGGAAUGGCAAUGAAACUGGCGGGCUGGAGUAUGGCAGAGGGGGGUGGUAUUCCGCGUGUAGCAGUGAAAUGCGUAGAGAUGCGGAGGAACACCGAUGGCGAAGGCAGCCCCCUGGGCCAAUACUGACGCUCAGGCACGAAAGCGUGGGGAGCAAACAGGAUUAGAUACCCUGGUAGUCCACGCCCUAAAUGCUCAGUGUUGGGGAAGCGAUUCCUUGGUACCGUAGCUAACGCGUGAAGUGAGCCGCCUGGGGAGUACGGCCGCAAGGUUAAAACUCAAAGGAAUUGACGGGGACCCGCACAAGCGGUGGAUGAUGUGGAUUAAUUCGAUGCAACGCGAACAACCUUACCUACCCUCAUGUCUGGAAGGCUGCUGAAAGGUUGUGCCUGAAGGGAACCGGAACACAGGUGCUGCAUGGC